AACGGACGCUGGCGGCAUGCCUAACACAUGCAAGUCGAACGAGACCUUCGGGUCUAGUGGCGCACGGGUGCGUAACGCGUGGGAACCUGCCUUUAGGUUCGGAAUAACUCAGAGAAAUUUGAGCUAAUACCGGAUAAUGUCUUCGGACCAAAGAUUUAUCGCCUUUAGAUGGGCCCGCGUUGGAUUAGCUAGUUGGUGGGGUAAAGGCCUACCAAGGCGACGAUCCAUAGCUGGUCUGAGAGGAUGAUCAGCCACACUGGGACUGAGACACGGCCCAGACUCCUACGGGAGGCAGCAGUGGGGAAUAUUGGACAAUGGGCGAAAGCCUGAUCCAGCAAUGCCGCGUGAGUGAUGAAGGCCUUAGGGUUGUAAAGCUCUUUACUCGGGACGAUAAUGACGGUACCGAGAGAAUAAGCCCCGGCUAACUCCGUGCCAGCAGCCGCGGUAAAGUGACUACUG
This 459-nucleotide ribosomal RNA is filed under the name uncultured bacterium. RNAcentral's name for it is "bacterial SSU rRNA". It matches the Rfam family "Bacterial small subunit ribosomal RNA", at positions 29 to 534 of the family's 1533-position model. The record is from RNAcentral.